This 646-nucleotide ribosomal RNA is filed under the name uncultured bacterium. RNAcentral's name for it is "bacterial SSU rRNA". It matches the Rfam family "Bacterial small subunit ribosomal RNA", at positions 62 to 708 of the family's 1533-position model. The record is from RNAcentral.
UCGACGCGAAGGGGGCAACCCCAAGUAGAGUGGCGGACGGGUGAGUAACGCGUAGGAAUCUACCCAGUAGUGGGGGAUAACCCGGCGAAAGCCGGGCUAAUACCGCAUAGGCCCUACGGGGCAAAGCAGGGGAUCUUCGGACCUUGCGCUAUUGGAUGAGCCUGCGUCGGAUUAGCUAGUUGGUGGGGUAAAGGCCCACCAAGGCGACGAUCCGUAGCUGGUCUGAGAGGAUGAUCAGCCACACUGGGACUGAGACACGGCCCAGACUCCUACGGGAGGCAGCAGUGGGGAAUAUUGGACAAUGGGGGCAACCCUGAUCCAGCAAUGCCGCGUGUGUGAAGAAGGCCUUCGGGUUGUAAAGCUCUUUCGGCAGGGAAGAAAAGUCUGACGUGAACAGCGUUGGAUGCUGACGGUACCUGAAGAAGAAGCACCGGCUAACUACGUGCCAGCAGCCGCGGUAAUACGUAGGGUGCGAGCGUUAAUCGGAAUUACUGGGCGUAAAGGGUGCGCAGGCGGUUUAGCAAGUCUGAUGUGAAAUCCCCGGGCUUAACCUGGGAACUGCGUUGGAAACUGCUGGACUAGAGUGUAGCAGAGGGGGGUGGAAUUCCACGUGUAGCAGUGAAAUGCGUAGAGAUGUGGAGGAACA